Molecule: long non-coding RNA, 325 nt
Organism: Nylanderia fulva
Lineage: Eukaryota; Metazoa; Arthropoda; Insecta; Hymenoptera; Formicidae
Source: RefSeq, a predicted model, not a curated record
GACAGUAACGGUAACCUCGUGAUGGUGGUAGUGGUCCUACGAUAUCCAAGUAUAUGUGCAUGUACGAGCCCAUUCGCCGAUGUCCUUGUUUAUGGCCGGCCACACAAAUUUGGACGCUAUGUUCUUCCUAGUCACCCUGCCGCUGGAGUGAGCUGUAUUAUGGACGACAUCGAAGAUCCUCUUUCUUAGGGGUUUUGGAAUUUCACCUGGAUUUUGAGGAGGCUUUUAAGCUCCUCGUCCGUCUGCUGUUCCGCCGCUAUGUCCUCUGUCGUGAUGAUGACAGGCAACGUGAUGUCGUUCAUUCGUGAUAGUGCGUCAGCUACGU